UCCGUUAAGAUGUAAUGGUUAACGUUAUCGCCUGUCAUAAGUGUAAACGGUAUGUACCCGAUAGCUCAGGGUUCGAUUCCCUGUAAUGGAA
This is a non-coding RNA of Marasmius fiardii PR-910, 91 nucleotides long. NCBI's taxonomy places the organism in Eukaryota, Fungi, Basidiomycota, Agaricomycetes, Agaricales, Marasmiaceae. The record is from the annotation of a GenBank genome assembly.